GACGAACGCUGGCGGCGUGCUUAACACAUGCAAGUCGAACGGUAAGGCCCUUCGGGGUACACGAGCGGCGGACGGGUGAGUAACGCGUAGGAAUGUACCCCAAAGUGAGGGAUAAGCACCGGAAACGGUGUCUAAUACCGCAUAUGGUCUAAGGAUUAAAGCUUCGGCGCUUUGGGAACAGCCUGCGUCUGAUUAGCUAGUUGGUAAGGUAACGGCUUACCAAGGCGACGAUCAGUAGCUGGUUUGAGAGGAUGAUCAGCCACACUGGGACUGAGACACGGCCCAGACUCCUACGGGAGGCAGCAGUAGGGAAUUUUCCACAAUGGACGAAAGUCUGAUGGAGCGACGCCGCGUGCAGGAUGAAGGCUUUCGGGUCGUAAACUGCUUUUAUCUGUGAAGAUUAUGACGGUAGCAGAUGAAUAAGGAUCGGCUAAUUCCGUGCCAGCCGCCGCCGUAA
RNAcentral lists this ribosomal RNA (457 nucleotides) under uncultured bacterium. RNAcentral describes it as "partial 16S ribosomal RNA". It matches the Rfam family "Bacterial small subunit ribosomal RNA", at positions 28 to 523 of the family's 1533-position model. The record is from RNAcentral.